GUUCCUGUAGCUGAAGUGGUUAGAGCGUCCGCAUCGGAUGCGGGAGGUAGCGGGUUCGAACCCCGGAUGAGUCA
Potamilus streckersoni is the source of this 74-nucleotide non-coding RNA. NCBI's taxonomy places the organism in Eukaryota, Metazoa, Mollusca, Bivalvia, Unionida, Unionidae. The record is from the annotation of a GenBank genome assembly.